This is a long non-coding RNA of Trematomus bernacchii (emerald rockcod), 311 nucleotides long. RefSeq lists it as uncharacterized. The record is from RefSeq and is a predicted model, not a curated record. The transcript is spliced from 3 exons. Lineage: Eukaryota; Metazoa; Chordata; Actinopteri; Perciformes; Nototheniidae.
CCGACUUCAAGAUCCAGCGAAUCCAAUCGUGUGUUGAACAGAUGCAACGAAGGAACUGCAACCACGCCUUCGUGGUUAAAAACAAAAGGCGUACUGUUUGCAUCAAACCAGACACUGUGUGGCUCAAAGAGAUGAUAAAGAAGGGAGAGAUACACUGUGCUCCAGAUAUUCACCUUUAAAAGGAAGAUGUCCAUGAAGAAGAAAAUCGUCCCGGCGAAGCAGCUACUCUGAACCUUUCCUGAUAAUUUACUAUUUAUUCCUUUUAACUAAAUAUUUAUUUACAUUUGUAACUUAUUUUUCUAUUUAUCUUU